CUUUGAUGUUUAUAGGUGGCUUAACAUGAUCAUUUGAUGUGUAUCUUAUGUAGAAGAUUUGAAUGAUCUACACGCACCAACUCGAUGUACGGCGACUCCAUGGAGCAAGUCGAGUUCGUGGAGCAAGUCAUGGACGAUGCCAUGGAAGAUUCAAAAGAUAUAUGGAUGAUUAUAAUGGUGCAUGGCAAGUAUAUUGCAAUGAUGAUGAUGUUCCGGUUCAUGAUGAUGAUGAUGUUCC
This is a non-coding RNA of Triticum urartu, 238 nucleotides long. NCBI's taxonomy places the organism in Eukaryota, Viridiplantae, Streptophyta, Magnoliopsida, Poales, Poaceae. The record is from RefSeq and is a predicted model, not a curated record.